ACGAGCCGUUCAUUGUGAUGCAAUUGUCGUACGCGUGCUGCCAGAAUAAGGACUGGCGUAUCACCACGUAUUGAUAAAUAUCAUCCGACUGUGACGGGAGAGGUUGUCGCGUACCUAAUUUAUAAUAUAUCAUAUGAACUGCAAUCUCCUUUCGCAGCGAGCUUCUAAGAACACGGGUGAUCUAGUUUCGUGUCUAUCAAUUUAAUAAGUACCUCAUCGGCGGCCAUUGUGAGACGUUGUUUUGCCCGGGAUUGAAUAUGCUGACGCCGGUGUCUAGCCAGGACCAGUUACCAAGCGAGCCCCUGCCACCGAUCCACGCGCUCUCUACGCCUGGAUGGAAUUACCAAGAGAAUGGACUAUAGCUGUUCCUUACAUCAACAUUAAUUAUGGUUUAAACUAUCAUAUAGUUAUAUAAUACUUAUAAAGACUCAUGUAAAAAAUAUAGAAUUACAAUUUA
Molecule: long non-coding RNA, 457 nt
Organism: Danaus plexippus (monarch butterfly)
Lineage: Eukaryota; Metazoa; Arthropoda; Insecta; Lepidoptera; Nymphalidae
Exons: 3
Source: RefSeq, a predicted model, not a curated record